GAUGAACGCUGGCGGCGUGCCUAAUACAUGCAAGUCGAGCGAACAGACGAGGAGCUUGCUCCUUUGACGUUAGCGGCGGACGGGUGAGUAACACGUGGGUAACCUCCCUAUAAGACUGGGAUAACUUCGGGAAACCGGAGCUAAUACCGGAUAAUAUUUCGAACCGCAUGGUUCGAUAGUGAAAGAUGGCUCUGCUAUCACUUCUAGAUGGACCUGCGCCGUAUUAGUUAGUUGGUAAGGUACCGGCUUACCAAGGCAACGAUAAGUAGCCGACCUGACAGGGUGAUCGGCCACACUGGAACUGGGCCACGGACCAGACUCCUACGGGAGGCAGCAGUAGGGAAUCUUCGGCAAUGGGCGAAAGCCUGACGGAGCAACGCCGCGUGAGUGAUGAAGGUCUUCGGAUCGUAAAACCCUGUUAUUAGGGAAGAACAAACGUGUAAGUAACUGUGCACGUCUUGACGGUACCUAAUCAGAAAGCCACGGCUAACUACGUG
RNAcentral lists this ribosomal RNA (497 nucleotides) under uncultured bacterium. RNAcentral describes it as "partial 16S ribosomal RNA". It matches the Rfam family "Bacterial small subunit ribosomal RNA", at positions 28 to 507 of the family's 1533-position model. The record is from RNAcentral.